RNAcentral lists this ribosomal RNA (573 nucleotides) under Salmonella enterica subsp. enterica serovar Kentucky. RNAcentral describes it as "bacterial LSU rRNA". It matches the Rfam family "Bacterial large subunit ribosomal RNA", at positions 634 to 1208 of the family's 2925-position model. Lineage: Bacteria; Pseudomonadati; Pseudomonadota; Gammaproteobacteria; Enterobacterales; Enterobacteriaceae. The record is from RNAcentral.
UCUGUAGCAAGGUUAACCGCAUAGGGGAGCCGGAGGGAAACCGAGUCUUAACUGGGCGUUAAGUUGCAGGGUAUAGACCCGAAACCCGGUGAUCUAGCCAUGGGCAGGUUGAAGGUUGGGUAACACUAACUGGAGGACCGAACCGACUAAUGUUGAAAAAUUAGCGGAUGACCUGUGGCUGGGGGUGAAAGGCCAAUCAAACCGGGAGAUAGCUGGUUCUCCCCGAAAGCUAUUUAGGUAGCGCCUCGUGAAUUCAUCUCCGGGGGUAGAGCACUGUUUCGGCUAGGGGGCCAUCCCGGCUUACCAACCCGAUGCAAACUGCGAAUACCGGAGAAUGUUAUCACGGGAGACACACGGCGGGUGCUAACGUCCGUCGUGAAGAGGGAAACAACCCAGACCGCCAGCUAAGGUCCCAAAGUCAUGGUUAAGUGGGAAACGAUGUGGGAAGGCCCAGACAGCCAGGAUGUUGGCUUAGAAGCAGCCAUCAUUUAAAGAAAGCGUAAUAGCUCACUGGUCGAGUCGGCCUGCGCGGAAGAUGUAACGGGGCUAAACCAUGCACCGAAGCUGCGGCAG